AUUGAACGCUGGCGGCAGGCCUAACACAUGCAAGUCGAGCGGAUGAAGGGAGCUUGCUCCUGGAUUCAGCGGCGGACGGGUGAGUAAUGCCUAGGAAUCUGCCUGGUAGUGGGGGAUAACGUCCGGAAACGGGCGCUAAUACCGCAUACGUCCUGAGGGAGAAAGUGGGGGAUCUUCGGACCUCACGCUAUCAGAUGAGCCUAGGUCGGAUUAGCUAGUUGGUGGGGUAAAGGCCUACCAAGGCGACGAUCCGUAACUGGUCUGAGAGGAUGAUUAGUCAGACCGGAUCGGAGAAACAGUCAAGCCGCGAACGGGACACAGCAGGGAGGCACAUGGGACGCUGGGCGGAGGCCUGAUGCACCCAGGGCGCGAGUGUGAAGAAGGUCUUCGGCGUGUGAAACAAUGUGAAUUGGGGCGAAGAGAGCUCAGUUGACACGUGCGCGUUUAGGCGAUGCCUAGAGAAAGAAGCCCCGCUAACUUCGUG
RNAcentral lists this ribosomal RNA (484 nucleotides) under uncultured bacterium. RNAcentral describes it as "partial 16S ribosomal RNA". It matches the Rfam family "Bacterial small subunit ribosomal RNA", at positions 29 to 507 of the family's 1533-position model. The record is from RNAcentral.